GUCUGAGGUACCGCAGACUGCACCGACUUUCCCUUUACCAAGUACCAGAAAUCGGGUUUAUUGCAGUUAUUUGUUUAUUUAUUUAUUUUAUACGGUUGUGAUUAGUUGUUCUGUUUGUGUGCGCGUCUGUAUUUUUAUUUAUUCGUUAUUUUUUUUAGAAUCAGUUCCAGGAACUGCUGAUGAAGGAGGACUGUGCAGACCCGCAUCGUGGAAGUCUAACCUACAAUAAUAAUUAUAAUAAUAAUUAUAAUAAUAAUAAUAAUAACAAUGCGACUCGAUUCUUCUUAAAGUGGUCGGUGUGAUUAUCUGGGUUUAUUAUAGAGGAUGCGAGGGGUCCAGUACUGAGAGACACGGAUACUGUUCCGGCUCUCUCUCUCUCUCUCUCUCUCUCUCUCUCUCUCUCUCUCUCUCUCUCUCUCUCUCUCACCAUUUCCUCAUGGAUUGAAUUUUACGACUGGGAAUAGACAUGGAUUAACAUGCCGAUGUUUGUUUAUCGGAGAUGUAAAUAAUUGCACUGGAGCACAUCGGAGGAUCAUUAUGGCUCUGGGGGCAGAUCAGAGGUUAAGGUUGCCUUGGGCUAAAAAAUGAGCCAUAGCAUAACCAUCUCUAGGAUUCAGGUUACGGGGGUUUGCUGCUAUUUCACAUAACAGCCAGAAAUGUGAGUAUUUGUAAUUGUUUUCUUCGGUAAUUUUAGUAAAUAAAGUGGUGGCACCUUGGUUAUCACUGCUUAGCCUAUUUGUUAUUUAUUAGCUUAAUGUUUGUUGUUAUUUACAUUAGUGUCAGUUAUUGUGCAAAUUAACAGGAGUCAGUCAAAACAUUAUGUUCAAGCACAUUCCAAAUGUCCAUAAUACAGAUCGACCGAUAGUGGAGUUUACCGAUGCCGAUAACCAAGUUGGGCAGAAGAGUUUUUCAAAUUGAUAUUUAAUGAAAACAUAACAUUCAAAAUAAAAACGUAUUCAUUUCAUUACAAAAUUAAACAGUACUGACUGUAC
Ictalurus punctatus (channel catfish) is the source of this 992-nucleotide long non-coding RNA. The record is from Ensembl. NCBI's taxonomy places the organism in Eukaryota, Metazoa, Chordata, Actinopteri, Siluriformes, Ictaluridae.